GCCAGGUGUGGUGGUGUGCACCUGUAGUCCCAGCUACUUGGGAGGCUGAGGUGGGAGGAUCACUUGAGCCCAGGAGUUUGAGGCUGCAGUGAGCUGUGAUCAUGCCACUGCCAUCCAGCCUGGGUGACAGAGCAAGACCCCAUCUCUA
Molecule: non-coding RNA, 148 nt
Filed under: Homo sapiens (human)
Lineage: Eukaryota; Metazoa; Chordata; Mammalia; Primates; Hominidae
Source: Rfam by way of RNAcentral